Unclassified non-coding RNA from Lepidothrix coronata (blue-crowned manakin), 308 nucleotides. Its record names the gene 7SK. It matches the Rfam family "7SK RNA". Rfam says of the family: 7SK was discovered as an abundant small nuclear RNA in the mid-70s but a possible function has only recently been suggested. Two independent studies have found that 7SK RNA binds the CDK9/cyclin T complex (known as elongation factor P-TEFb). P-TEFb activates transcription by phosphorylating the C-terminal domain of RNA polymerase II. The record is from Ensembl. Lineage: Eukaryota; Metazoa; Chordata; Aves; Passeriformes; Pipridae.
GGAUGUGAAGGUGAUCUGGCUGCAACAUCUGUCACCCCAUUGAUCAGCCGGGUUGAUUGGGCAGAUCUGACUGGCUAUAGGUGGGGGUGUCCCUUUCCUCCGUCAGUGCUCCAUGUGCGUCCCUCCUGGAGCUGCACACUCUGUCACAGAGUGACCUCUGAUGGUACUGUUUGUUGCUCAAGGGUGUACAGUAGCCCUGCUCCCCUGCUAGAACCUCCCAAUGAGCUCAAGAUUUAUGGCUAUUUGUGUUCUAACGGCAGUUUCUCUAAUGACUUUUCAGUCACUGGAGCUGCCAGAGAUCUAAUAAA